CCCUUAGAUGUUCUGGGCCGCACGCGCGCUACACUGAAGGGAUCAGCGUGUUUUCCCUUUCCGAGAGGAACGGGUAACCCGCUGAACCCCCUCCGUGGUAGGGAUCGGAGCUUGCAAUUGUUCUCCGUGAACCAGGAAUUCCCAGUAAGCGCAAGUCAUAAGCUUGCGUUGAUUACGUCCCUGCCCUUUGUACACACCGCCCGUCGCUACUACCGAUUGAACGUUUUAGUGAGGUAUUUGGACUGGGCCUUGGGAGGUUUCGGCCUCCCUUGUUGCUCGGAAAGACUCCCAAACUUGAGCGUUUAGAGGAAGUAAAAGUCGUAACA
RNAcentral lists this ribosomal RNA (326 nucleotides) under uncultured eukaryote. RNAcentral describes it as "partial 18S ribosomal RNA". It matches the Rfam family "Eukaryotic small subunit ribosomal RNA", at positions 1470 to 1796 of the family's 1831-position model. The record is from RNAcentral.